GAUGAAGAACGCAGCGAAAUGCGAUAAGUAAUGUGAAUUGCAGAAUUCAGUGAAUCAUCGAAUCUUUGAACGCACAUUGCGCCCGCCAGUACUCUGGCGGGCAUGCCUGUUCGAGCGUCAUUACAACCCUCAGGCCCCCGGGCCUGGCGUUGGGGAUCGGCGGAAGCCCCCUGCGGGCACAACGCCGUCCCCCAAAUACAGUGGCGGUCCCGCCGCAGCUUCCAUUGCGUAGUAGCUAACACCUCGCAACUGGAGAGCGGCGCGGCCACGCCGUAAAACACCCAACUUCUGAAUGUUGACCUCGAAUCAGGUAGGAGUACCCGCUGAACUUAAGCAUAUCAAUAAGCGGAGGA
This 353-nucleotide unclassified non-coding RNA is filed under the name soil metagenome. RNAcentral's name for it is "partial contains 5.8S ribosomal RNA, internal transcribed spacer 2, and large subunit ribosomal RNA". The stretch from base 1 to 120 matches the Rfam family "5.8S ribosomal RNA", at positions 35 to 154 of the family's 154-position model. The record is from RNAcentral.